GACGAACGCUGGCGGCGUGCUUAACACAUGCAAGUCGAGCGGUAAGGCCCUUUCGGGGGUACACGAGCGGCGAACGGGUGAGUAACACGUGGGUGACCUGCCCUUAGCUCUGGGAUAAGCCUGGGAAACUGGGUCUAAUACCGGAUAUGACUCCAUAACGCAUGUUGUGGGGUGGAAAGCCUUGUGCGGCUAGGGGAUGGGGCCCGCGGCCUAAGUCAGCUUGUUGGUGGGGUGAUGGCCUACCAAGGCGACGACGGGUAGCCGGCCUGA
RNAcentral lists this ribosomal RNA (270 nucleotides) under uncultured bacterium. Its description in RNAcentral is "partial 16S ribosomal RNA". It matches the Rfam family "Bacterial small subunit ribosomal RNA", at positions 28 to 295 of the family's 1533-position model. The record is from RNAcentral.